UACAGAGGUCCCAAGCGUUGUUCGGAUUCAUUGGGCGUAAAGGGUGCGUAGGUGGCGCGGUAAGUCAGGUGUGAAAUCUCGGGGCUUAACUCCGAAACUGCAUUUGAUACUGCGGUGCUUGAGGACUGGAGAGGAGACUGGAAUUUACGGUGUAGCGGUGAAAUGCGUAGAUAUCGUAAGGAAGACCAGUGGCGAAGGCGGGUCUCUGGACAGUUCCUGACACUGAGGCACGAAGGCCAGGGGAGCAAACGGG
This 253-nucleotide ribosomal RNA is filed under the name uncultured bacterium. Its description in RNAcentral is "partial 16S ribosomal RNA". It matches the Rfam family "Bacterial small subunit ribosomal RNA", at positions 524 to 776 of the family's 1533-position model. The record is from RNAcentral.